GGAUGGUUUAAGAUGCCAACAAAAUUAUUUACUUGAUGAAUAUAUUACAUCAAAUAUUACAAAUACAUCAUUUAGUUAAAUAAAUAAACAAAAACUGAAAAUUUAUAUCCGCGCUGUCAGGGUGUAGUUACAAUUAUAAUCGAUGAAUCCAACAUUAAAGUUUGUUUUCUAAAAGUAAGGUAGUAAAUGAUGCAUGUACAUAUAACUUUGCCUAUCUUUUUUCUCUCUGUGUUUCAACUAUUAAUGAUACAAUAAAUGAGAUCACUUCCUUUUCAUUAAACGAGUUCACAUUUAACGUUUGAAUAAUGCAAAAGUUCCUCAAAUUAUUGAGGGGCUUUAUAUUAGAUCAUGUCCUACUAUAAAAGUAAAAUAAAGCAGCAACAAUUUGUCAACUUUUGUUUUUGUGAUAACGACACAAUUUAUUCAUGUAGUAAAUGCGUUUUUCUUAAAUAACUAAAAAUGAAUUACACAAUUUGUUUUAAAUCGAUGAAAGUAUAUGCUGAACUACAAGUUUUUUUUUUUGACAAAGGGCUUCUGAAUUAUAAGUUCAUAAUAACUUAUAGUUCAGCAAGAUAACAUACAAUGAUACUUAUUAUAACUGAUGACUGCAUUCUUCGACUUUUAUACUAAACAUUUCAUGAAUCAAUUAUUAAACAAUGUAUGCACAUCCUUCAGUUUGCAGGUUGUUUUGGCCCCAACAUUCUAGAGUGUUUUAUUCACAUCAUAAUUAAAAAUGGUAUAUAAAAUUCAAUUUCGAUGCAUAUAUAUAUACCACAGGUUUUUAGAUUCUUGAAAUAUAGUUAUUUCAUUUUCUUAGUCUGCUAGAUGAGAUCACACAACUGGGCAGUUGGCAGCAUAAAUAAAUUGUCCAAUGACAGACAGGUAGACCUCGUUUAAUUUAAUUCUUGUACUCAGCGAAUUAUAUUGGUAUCUUUUUUCUGUACAAGUUAAACCCUCCGGUUUAUUAUUAUUGAGUGCCGGUUCUCCUCACGGUCUCUCAACUCUUAAUGCAUAUAAAGAAUCUAUAACUGUAAAGUUGAAGCAUCUGCUUUUUUAGGCUGUCCACGUCGUUGUAGAGAAGAGGAGAAAUCGUGACACGUCAGCGUUUCUUAAGUCGUUGUCUUUGGGUUCCAUUGUUUUGUUGGGCCUUACAGCAUGCAGCCCAUCACGUGUUUUAGAACAUAAUGGUGACUAAACGCCCCGUUUAGGAUUAGGUUUACGCGGAGUGCUUCUCGCGUCUCCAGAUCGAAAGGCGACACCUCUUGCGCAGCUGACCUUCCGUCUCCUUCGUCGCAAGCACUCAAAAACCGAUCAAUCAAUCAUCUUUAAUCCCCCCCCCCUUCCAUUAAUCUAUCACCCACGAUCUGGAUUCAAUGCGAUAUUGUUGAUGUGCAAGGCGUUUGAGUCGACUAUAAAAAGAUUUCACGACAUCAUCUUUAUGCUACCCGAGAACUUGGACUGAGAUUGAAAAUAUUGAGCUUUGAUAUGCUUUAAGUUUUAGAUCUUUCAGCCUCAUGUCAUGUUCAUAUGUCUGAUUUUUUGAAAAAAUUGACUGAGUGGAAUAUGCAUUCUUCCGCAAAGGAUCGUGAAUAUGACUCAAAGAGACAUGUAUGUUCAUGAUUGAAACAACGUUGGUUUCGUUUCUUUCUCUGAAUGUGUCUUCUCUUUUGAAUUAAUCCAUGGACGAGAGCAAGCUCAAGAGAUGCUCCACUUCAUCCACCUAUGCUGAAGCAGCUGAUUAGGCGACAGAUCCUUUGCAAAAAGCUAAGAAAAUAAUUGAGUUACACACUUUCUGAGAUGCUUUUGUGGUCCAUAUUAUUUUAAUCUAAUUGAGCAUGCGGCUCUGUAACAUGUAAUACAGAGAGCGUAGGUACAGAGCUUUUGGAGUCUUGUUUUUUUUUUUGUUGUCAAUGGAGGAGGAAUCUGAGACAGAAAGCUACUGUUUCUUUUUGGGUAAUGAAGACGACAAGAUCCUUUGUUCUCUGUAAUGGCCAUAAAUAAAUAUAGAUAACAAAAAUAAA
Brassica napus (rape) is the source of this 2021-nucleotide long non-coding RNA. RefSeq lists it as uncharacterized. Lineage: Eukaryota; Viridiplantae; Streptophyta; Magnoliopsida; Brassicales; Brassicaceae. The record is from RefSeq and is a predicted model, not a curated record. The transcript is spliced from 3 exons.